GGCUGUGAGGGUGAUCUGACUGUGACAUCUGCCACCCCAUUGAUCGCCAGGGUUGAUUUGGCCGAUCUUACUGGUUAAGCAAGUGUCCCCUUCCUCCCUCACCCCUCCAUGCGUGUCCCUCCUGAAACUGAGUGCUCAAUUGAAGAGGACACCCAUCCCCGCUAGAGAAGAACCAUUCGCUUCCCCCUACCAGAAUCUCCAGAAACAGCUCGAGGUUCAGACACUCUGUGGGAAGGCUGGAGAACGAACACAGCACCUCUGAAGAUGUGGAGACUAC
This is an unclassified non-coding RNA of Carlito syrichta (Philippine tarsier), 277 nucleotides long. Its record names the gene 7SK. It matches the Rfam family "7SK RNA". Rfam says of the family: 7SK was discovered as an abundant small nuclear RNA in the mid-70s but a possible function has only recently been suggested. Two independent studies have found that 7SK RNA binds the CDK9/cyclin T complex (known as elongation factor P-TEFb). P-TEFb activates transcription by phosphorylating the C-terminal domain of RNA polymerase II. The record is from Ensembl. Lineage: Eukaryota; Metazoa; Chordata; Mammalia; Primates; Tarsiidae.